Molecule: ribosomal RNA, 521 nt
Filed under: uncultured bacterium
Lineage: Bacteria
Description: bacterial SSU rRNA
Rfam family: Archaeal small subunit ribosomal RNA
Source: RNAcentral
AACCUCCGCAAUGUGAGAAAUCGCGACGGGGGGAUCCCAAGUGCCAUUCUUAACGGGAUGGCUUUUCAUUAGUGUAAAGAGCUUUUGGAAUAAGGGCUGGGCAAGACCGGUGCCAGCCGCCGCGGUAACACCGGCAGCUCUAGUGGUAGCAGUUUUUAUUGGGCCUAAAGCGUCCGUAGCCGGUUUAAUAAGUCUCUGGUGAAAUCCUGUAGCUUAACUGUGGGAAUUGCUGGAGAUACUAUUAGACUUGAGACCGGGAGAGGUUAAAGGUACUCCCAGGGUAGAGGUGAAAUUCUGUAAUCCUGGGAGGACCGCCUGUUGCGAAGGCGUCUAACUGGAACGGUUCUGACGGUGAGGGACGAAAGUUAGGGGCGCGAACCGGAUUAGAUACCCGGGUAGUCCUAACUGUAAACGAUGCGGACUUGGUGUUGGGGUGGCUUUGAGCUGCUCCAGUGCCGAAGGGAAGCUGUUAAGUCCGCCGCCUGGGAAGUACGGUCGCAAGACUGAAACUUAAAGGAAUU